RNAcentral lists this ribosomal RNA (478 nucleotides) under uncultured bacterium. RNAcentral's name for it is "partial 16S ribosomal RNA". It matches the Rfam family "Bacterial small subunit ribosomal RNA", at positions 28 to 507 of the family's 1533-position model. The record is from RNAcentral.
GACGAACGCUGGUGGCGUGCUUAACACAUGCAAGUCGAACGGGAUUUAGUAAACAGAAGCCUCGGUGGAAGAUUACUAAUGAGAGUGGCGAACGGGUGAGUAACGCGUGAGCAACCUGCCUAUGACAGUGGGAUAGCCUCGGGAAACCGGGACUAAUACCGCAUAAAAUCGUAGAAACACAUGUUUUAACGGUCAAAGAUUUAUCGGUCAUAGAUGGGCUCGCGUCUGAUUAGCUAGUUGGUGAGAUAACAGCCCACCAAGGCGACGAUCAGUAGCCGGUCUGAGAGGAUGAACGGCCACAUUGGAACUGAGACACGGUCCAAACUCCUACGGGAGGCAGCAGUAGGGAAUAUUGCACAAUGGGGGAAACCCUGAUGCAGCGACGCCGCGUGAACGAAGAAGGUAUUCGUAUCGUAAAGUUCUGUCCUAUGGGAAGAUAAUGACAGUACCAUAGAAGAAAGCUCCGGCUAAAUACGUG